AGUUCCCUCUCUCUCUACAAGGAACACCCUAUAUGGAUUCCACAGAGCAAGAUCCUUCCCACCAUAUCUCCGCCAGCCCAGCACGUCAGGCAUUUCCAUUUUCCGUGGCAGUCCAUGAGAAUCGGAGCCCCUGAUACCAGUUCAUUUGGGAUCCAGCCCUUUCACCCCCCUUCCUCCAGAGGGCACUGCUCACCCUAAGGAGCAAACAGCUCCUAAUGGGGUUCAGUGAUAACAGCACUCCUCAUCUUGCUAGAAGCGACUGCACUGACCAGAACACCCUUGGCAGCUGGAUCCUGAGGGAGGCUUUGGAGUCAGAGGCAUUCGCUGGGACUCUGCCCUCCAAGGUGUACCUGCCCCCAUUUCAGCUGUGGAGGCACAGAUGCUUGGUGAAGACUGGGUGCCCAGCCAUGAGUGGCAUAGGUGCAGCCAGCCUGGCUUCCAGCAAGUGCCAUCAGCAAAGAAAGCAUCUCUGCCCAUUGAUGCCAGCUGUUCGCAACUGCUUUGGGAACUGGCAUCUUGGCAAAGUGCAGGGGGGUGGGGCGGGGACAGAAAUGUGGCUGAUCAGUCUGCCAGCCCAUGUCUGGAACCCUGCCUCCUCUACAUCCACCUCCCAGACUGUGGGAUCUGAGCAGCUGACUGACUGGCACUAUCCACAACCCCCACAGACAGCACUGGGCUCUCCUCAACUCACUCACCUCCUAACCUACCCCAAAGGAGGAAAACACUGCCAGACAGAGUGAAGAAGAUUCACAGCUGUGUGCCCAGGCUGCAGAGUUCAGGCUUCAGGGAGCCCCCUGGGCAGCCAGAUAGAAGCCAGAAGAGCAGAGGUGCUACCUCUCCCAGCCGGGUGGUGCCCUAGCUACACUUGGCUCUGCCUGUGUCUACCAGCACCCAGGAUGCCAAGGGUCUGCCUGCAUGGUCGCUGACCCAAGCCUCCCUAACCAAGGCCUCCAUUCCAGACAAACCUGGCCAAUCGAUGUGGCCAAGAUCCAGCCUAUGAAACAGAAGCCCCCAGUGCUCCAUAACUCCUGAAUUAUGCUCAGACUCCUCUGGGAAGAAGACCAUCCUCAAAGGCAGAGAAUUCCCAGAGUGUGCGGCAGGCAAAAGCACAUCACCCAAAGCCAGCAGUGCUAUACCUCUCCUCAGAGGUAGCAACUUGUUCUCCAGGAUGUCCCUGGCGUCAGUGCCUUCGUCCAUGAGGUCCAGUUUCGUGAUCACACCGAUGGUCCGCAAGCCUGUGUGAGAGGCUGGAGGUUAGAGGAGAGGCUAGUGUGCCUGCUGCUGCCCAUCCUGAGGAACCCACUCCAAUAGGGCUGGAGAGAGGGAUGAGGUCACUGGAACUGCCCCUGGCAGAGGGAGUUGGGAAGGAAAUAAACCCUGAUUUUAAAGCAGA
Alligator mississippiensis (American alligator) is the source of this 1393-nucleotide long non-coding RNA. RefSeq lists it as uncharacterized. The transcript has 2 exons. NCBI's taxonomy places the organism in Eukaryota, Metazoa, Chordata, Crocodylia, Alligatoridae. The record is from RefSeq and is a predicted model, not a curated record.